Molecule: long non-coding RNA, 1335 nt
Organism: Scatophagus argus
Lineage: Eukaryota; Metazoa; Chordata; Actinopteri; Scatophagidae
Exons: 3
Source: RefSeq, a predicted model, not a curated record
UCCAACUAAACUAGUACCGUGUUUUCCUCGUUAAUAAAAAGCCUAGCGAGACCUCCAACGCUACUGCCACCUGUCGCAUUGGAAGACCAAUAACAAGGCCCACAACGGUUUGCCAUGUAUACUAAACCCAUUCGUUUGUUGAACCGUAUGAAUAAUAUCUGAUUCUGAGCCCGCUGUUUGCAGAGUAGCUCUGGGCUGCAUAUUUCAGAAUAUUACCACAGCGCUUCCUGUGGUAACGUUAGCCUGCCCGGAACGACCUUUAAGAGUAUUUCUCGUGCGAGAGGGGAGGCUCAUUCGCCGCUGCCAGUCCUAAGAUUAUUAUCAUUAAGAGGAGGCAAAUAAAAUGAGGAGGAUCACACUUAAGUGAAAUCUGUUGAAGUUGUAUCCCGGAAAAUCCUCAGGCAGCCAGGUAUGAGAACUGCAACCAUGUGAGGGAGGUAAAAAAAGCUCAUCAAGACUUAAGGGAUGACAAAUUCCACCAUCUGCGCGUGGAUCCUGCGCCGACGCCGGUGCACGAACGGCGAGGAAAAAGUUUGAGACACAAGCGCAUGAGAGAAAGUUUUGACGGAGGCAACCAGGUGUGGGAAAGUCAGCGUGGAGGCGACGCAGAUGACGUAAGGACACGGCAGCGAGCGAGGCCUUUCUGGGAGAGAUAAGGCCGGCGCUGGCGUGACGCCUGUCACCAUACGUGCACGCUUUGUGUACACACGGGGUGUUAAGAGCUGUCACACAGGUAUGGCUCAGGCUUGAUCUGAGCCGUGAUUGAUCGCUCAGGUUCAGGUGGAGUUCACGGGAGGUCUCUGGUAUCACCGGCAAAAUGAGUGACAGACACAAAAUGGGGUGAUGGAAUAUUAUCAGGAAGCCAUUUGUAAUCCGGGGCGAGCCUGCAUCUCUGAGGGGUGUUGUCUCUCUGAAAUGAAGUCAUCCAUCACCUCAACUUCAUAUUUGAUUAGGUCAUGAGUAGCUUUUAAAGAGAAAGAGAGGCUUUUAGUAUUGUGGCCUCACAGUCUGAUAAACAAAGUUGGAGGCUGCAGAGUAAAAUUUUGAAUGGGAAUUUUAAUUUAUGGAUUUUACUGAGGUGUGUAAGACGUACAAAAAGCAACUGAGUGAAAGCGUUAAAAAAAACUCCCUCAAUGCUGACAGUUUUGGUUCUGUACCUUUUAAACUGUAGUAAAAUAAAAAGUACUUCUACUACUGAAGCAUGGAAAUACCUGCUAGAAUAGAAGUAAAAUACUUAUUUAUGUGCUUUUGGGGAAUGACAUUAAAUUAGAAUUUAAAUGAUUUAUUAAUUCAUCAAUCAACAGAUAAAAAUGAUCUGCAAAUAUUAUAUAUAUA